AUCGCUUCUCGGCUUUUUGGCUAAGAUCAAGUGUUUUUAUCUGUUCUUAUCAGUUUAAUAAAUAUGUGUUAUAUGCAUAUAUAAUAUAUAUAUAUAAUGCAUAUGUGUUAACUGGUAUCUGUAUGUCCUUUCUGGGCCUCCAGUGUUGCAACUGUAGGGUUCUUUCUAGC
Molecule: small nuclear RNA, 170 nt
Filed under: Suricata suricatta (meerkat)
Lineage: Eukaryota; Metazoa; Chordata; Mammalia; Carnivora; Herpestidae
Description: U2 spliceosomal RNA (ENSSSUG00005022559.1)
Rfam family: U2 spliceosomal RNA
About the family: U2 is a small nuclear RNA (snRNA) component of the spliceosome (involved in pre-mRNA splicing). Complementary binding between U2 snRNA (in an area lying towards the 5' end but 3' to hairpin I) and the branchpoint sequence (BPS) of the intron results the bulging out of an unpaired adenosine, on the BPS, which initiates a nucleophilic attack at the intronic 5' splice site, thus starting the first of two transesterification reactions that mediate splicing.
Source: Rfam by way of RNAcentral